This 514-nucleotide ribosomal RNA is filed under the name uncultured bacterium. Its description in RNAcentral is "partial 16S ribosomal RNA". It matches the Rfam family "Bacterial small subunit ribosomal RNA", at positions 28 to 523 of the family's 1533-position model. The record is from RNAcentral.
GACGAACGCUGGCGGCGUGCCUAAUACAUGCAAGUCGAGCGGAUGAAAGAGGAGCUUGCUCAUCUAGAUUCAGCGGCGGACGGGUGAGUAACACGUGGGCAACCUGCCCUGUAGAUUGGGAUAACUCCGGGAAACCGGGGCUAAUACCGAAUAAUCCUACGGACCUCAUGGUCAGAUGUUGAAAGACGGUUUCGGCUGUCACUACAGGACUGGCCCGCGGCGCAUUAGCUAGUUGGUGAGGUAACGGCUCACCAAGGCCACGAUGCGUAGCCGACCUGAGAGGGUGAUCGGCCACACUGGGACUGAGACACGGCCCAGGCUCCUACGGGAGGCAGCAGUAGGGAAUCUUCCACAAUGGACGAAAGUCUGAUGGAGCAACGCCGCGUGAGUGAAGAAGGUUCUCGGAUCGUAAAACUCUGUUGUGAGGGAAGAACGAGUACCGGAGUAACUGCCGGUGCCUUGACGGUACCUCAUUAGAAAGCCACGGCUAACUACGUGCCAGCCGCCGCGGUAA